GUCUCUGUUCAGCGGGGAAGCAGCGAGGUUCCCUCCAGAUAGCGGUGAAGGGCGGCUUCCUAACUUUGUUUCCCAAGUCCCCUAACUUCGGAAUGCUUCUGCAUUGGUUCUUGCUCAGUGUCAUACCAGCGACUCCAAGAGUCAUGUCACCCACUUAGCAGGAGUACUUCUACUGAAAUGCCUUCGAAUUUCUCUUACUGGAUAUAUACCUACCAGCCGCUAGCAUGAAGAUGCCAGGACCGCUGCAAGUUAGCACUGGACAAAGUAGCAUCAACUUCUUCAUUUAGAGUUUCUUCAGUUAAAUUGCUGGGAUUUUCGACAAGGCUUUCCUUAUGUGGAUUAUUGGAGUGUGAUGCCCGAGAAUUCUCUACUUGUAGAAGCACGCCCACGGGACUGCAGAAGCCUUCACACCCACCCAGCACGCUCAGAUCAUCCAGUAACCAACCCAGGAAGUUCUUGUAAGCAUGCAUUUCUUAGUCAACACUGAAUGCCUUUAGACCGAGGUCAACCUUUUCAGCUGGUACCGUGGUUUACACUGCUGAUGGGAAUGAGUGAUGGCCAUCCAGUGACCAGCUGGAUCUGACUGCCUUACAAGACGCAUGUGUAUGAUUAAGAGAGAGACAUUCGUGACUCCCAGAUGUACCUCCUUCCUGUCCCACAGUGUUCCUGAAGGGAGUGAGUUAUGGGGUAACUUAUAACACAGCAGGCUCUUCCUCAAGAUAGCUCUUGUCAAAACAGGAAGACGAAACUCGGGUUUCCAUGAGGAGACCACAGCUUGGGAUCCUGUCUGGAUGUACAAGCAGAAGCAUCUUCAUACUUUUCCAUUUCUAACCAUCAUGCCUCACCCCACCCUCCCAAGGCGACAUCUGCAGAGAGGUGGAACCAUCUAGGGAGGCCUGCCACUGUUUGCUGAGCUCCGGGUGAGGAUGAAGACACUUUGACAUGGCCAGCUUCAGACUCGGGAUCUGUCGGUGUUAGCAGCCGAAGGAGAAUGAGGAGGAAGAGGAGGAGAAAGAGGAGGAGGAAGUAAGACAGAGGGGGACAAGAGGACCAAGAGGGCACAUGGCUGAGGAGGAGGAGAACAACAACAACAACAACAACAACAACAACAACAAGAAGCUUGGUGGUGAAACUUGGAAGCCCUCUCCAGGAUGCAGCAGGUAGCUGAGGAGAAAACGAAGACUGACCAGCCCAGAGCUCAGAGCUUCCUCCCAUGCUCAGGAUUUACCACCAAUGCCAUUACAUCGGCCUCUUCUUGUAUGCCUCUGGAAACCACAUGUGUCCUCUGUUUGUAAUGGUUUGGCUAUGGUUGCUGGCCCCUCUUGGACAUUGUUUUCAGAACUUAAAGAAACAUUGCUUUAAAGAUUUAUUAGAACAUAUUUAAAAUAAAACCAUCUUCUCAUUUAGUAUGCAA
Molecule: long non-coding RNA, 1414 nt
Filed under: Mus musculus (house mouse)
Lineage: Eukaryota; Metazoa; Chordata; Mammalia; Rodentia; Muridae
Description: RIKEN cDNA 2610307P16 gene
Source: RNAcentral